Molecule: ribosomal RNA, 851 nt
Filed under: uncultured archaeon
Lineage: Archaea
Description: bacterial SSU rRNA
Rfam family: Archaeal small subunit ribosomal RNA
Source: RNAcentral
UUCGAUUAAGCCAUGCGAGUCGUGAGUCUUAGGGACUCGGCAUACUGCUCAGUAACACGUGGAUAACCUGCCCUAUCGUCUGGAAUAACCUCGGGAAACUGAGAAUAAGGCCGGAUAGUUCACAAUGCCUGGAACGGUUUGUGAAUCAAGGUAGGAUGGGUCUGCGGCGUAUCAGGUUGUAGGGGGUGUAAAGGACCCCCUAGCCUUCGACGCGUACGGGUGUUGGGAGACAUAGCCCGGAGAUGGAUUCUGAGACACGAAUCCAGACCCUACGGGGUGCAGCAGGCGCGAAAACUUCACACUGCAGGAAACUGUGAUGAGGGAACUCCUAGUGCAUGCACUAUGUGUAUGUAGAUCCUACUCUUAACAAGUAGAGGGAAAGGGCUGGGAAAGACCGGUGCCAGCCGCCGCGGUAAUACCGGCAGCUCAAGUGGUCGUCGCUUUUAUUGGGCCUAAAACGUCCGUAGCCUGUUUGGUAAAUCUGUGGGUAAAUCAAUCCGCUCAACGGAUUGAAUUCUGCAGAGACYGCCAGACUAGGGACCGGGAGAGGUGUGGGGUACUCGAGGGGUAGGGGUAAAAUCCUGUCAUCCUUCGAGGACCACCAGUUGCGAAGGCGCCACACUGGAACGGAUCCGACGGUCAGGGACGAAGCCUAGGGGCACGAACCGGAUUAGAUACCCGGGUAGUCCUAGGUGUAAACGCUGUGAACUUGGUGUCGGGGGUCCGCAAGGGGUCCCCGGUGCCGGAGUGAAGAUGUUAAGUUCACUGCCUGGGGAGUACGGUCGCAAGGCUGAAACUUAAAGGAAUUGGCGGGGGAGCACUGCAACGGGAGGAGCGUGCGGUUUAAUUGG